UGGGGGAUAUUGCACAAUGGGCGAAAGCCUGAUGCAGCGACGCCGCGUGGGGGAUGAAGGCUUUCGGGUUGUAAACCUCUUUCGCUAUCGAACAAGGCCCGCUUAGGGUGGGUUGAGGGUAGGUGGAGAAGAAGCGCCGGCUAACUACGUGCCAGCAGCCGCGGUAAUACGUAGGGCGGGAGCGUUGUCCGGAAUUAUUGGGCGUCAAGGGCUUGUAGGCGGCUUGUUGCGCCUGCUGUGAAAACGCGGGGCUUAACUUCGCGCGUGCAGUGGGUACGGGCAGGCUUGAGUGUGGUAGGGGUGACUGGAAUUCCAGGUGUAGCGGUGGAAUGCGCAGAUAUCUGGAGGAACACCGAUGGCGAAGGCAGGUCACUGGGCCAUUACUGACGCUGAGGAGCGAAAGCAUGGGUAGCGAACAGG
RNAcentral lists this ribosomal RNA (420 nucleotides) under bacterium. Its description in RNAcentral is "partial 16S ribosomal RNA". It matches the Rfam family "Bacterial small subunit ribosomal RNA", at positions 355 to 776 of the family's 1533-position model. The record is from RNAcentral.